AUUUCCCGCAAAUGUAAGAAAACACAAUUUUAAAGUGAGCAUGUCCCAUUCCAUCUAGUUAGGUUACCAAAAUUUAAACUGUCUCAUAGACUGGGUGCCCAUGUCCCGUCAAGUUAACACAUAAAACCAGCCAAUGUAAGGCUGGGCUUCGUGGUGCUUGCCUGUAGUCUGGUGGUGGUUAGGAGAACCAGGAGUCCAAGCUUUCAUACAGAUCUGGCUACAUACAGAUCUGAGGCCAAUCUGGGAUAUAUGAGACUUGUCUCAAAAAAAAAAAAACCAAUUCAACAUAUUGUAACCAGGGUCCUAUAAGACCAGACAGGAUCUAGCAAGGAAAUGCUUUCCCAGCUCCAUUUGAAUUCUCUUGGACUGGAAUAUGUCAUUUCUUUACUAUUAAAAAUGUGUCUGAAAUCAUGGGGAUGUUAGUCUGGCUACUGGAGCACUAGCACCUUCUCAGUAGACGGGGAGCAUCAGGCAGGUAGAGAAUGGACGGGAUGUUGUGGGUGGCCAGCCUGUGAGGCUCCUUAGAUGCUUUCAGACUGUGCGUGUGAUGUGGCUGCCGGGGAAGGGGUACAUCACUCUUCCUCUGCUAGGACACUCGGCAGAGUGCACUGAAAGUGCUGAGUUCGUUAUUUCCAUGAAGAGUCUCGCACUAGGUUGUGGAUGGUGGUUAAAGUUCUACAUGGGCUCUAGGGUUGUGUUGCGUGGGUUUCAAUGCACUGUUAGGUUGUUGACUAUAGCUUGUCACUUAGCCUCUCUGUGCCUCACUUUCUCAACUGCCAACGGAACAACGCGCAAAUUGCUCUUGUUUUCAUACUUGCUUCGUGCCCCCAGAGAAGUCCUAAAACCUAGAAAAGUACAGGUUGCUGUUACCGGAGAGACAACCAGUGAUCCCCAGGAAGGCAGAUUUCCAGAGCUUACGUGCUUGGCUGCCUGCAUCCUGGUGAGUUUUCAGACCGUAUUUUGUGGCUGGUAAGGUGGUGUAACCUUCUUUCUCUUCCCCAGAAACCACUUUCACACACACUCUCUCUACCCCCCUACACAUCUUUUUGAAGUCUACCUUGACAUAUAAGGAGGUUAAUAUUAACAAUGUACCAAGUGGCCCCCGCCUCCGCCAGGCUUCUGAAGUGCUGAUAAAAGCAACUUAUGAUGGGAUCACGGUGGCUUUAAAUUAGCAGAGACUAGCUGUGUGUCGCCACCUCAAUCUGGUCCAGGGAGACUUUUCUGUGGUUUAACCAGCUUUCUAAAACAGAGUAUGCCCCAGGGACCAGGGAAAAUUACUUUAAUGACUAGUUACAUUUUGAAGAUGGAGCAGGGUGCCAUUUAGACAAAACAGAAUUCCCUUGUUAAUCUGUGGCCAAAUGCUUGUAAGACAUUAAAGGGAUGUGGGAAAGCCCAUAAAAGCAAAGAACCAAAACGAGAGAGUCUCUCAUCCUAGGUCUGACUUGCAAAUAUCACUAUGAACUCAUGGUAGGUGUCCUUUAAAAC
RNAcentral lists this long non-coding RNA (1485 nucleotides) under Mus spicilegus (steppe mouse). Its description in RNAcentral is "lncRNA (ENSMSIG00000005001.1)". Lineage: Eukaryota; Metazoa; Chordata; Mammalia; Rodentia; Muridae. The record is from RNAcentral.